UCGCGGUAAAACCAUCCCUUUUGCCGUUAACGUUUUGACCGCUUCGCGUACCGCUGUACGACUCACUCCAAAUUGCUCGCCCAGCUCAAUCUCACCGGGCAAAAUGGUGCCGGGUUCAUAUUCACCUUUUAAGAUCCGUUGCGCCAGCUUCUCAGCCAGAACAUACGAAAGGUUUUUCUGUGCAGCUAACUGUUGUGCGCUUAAAGGCAUUACUAAUCUUCCUUUUUCUUUUUAUUCCUCCUUAGUAUGCCACCAGGAUGUGUGAUUACGGUUGCAAAAACGGCAAAUUGCUUGUUUUAUGGCACAUUAACGGGGCUUUUGCUGAAAAAAUGCGCGGUCAGAAAAUUAUUUUAAAUUUCCUCUUGUCAGGCCGGAAUAACUCCCUAUAAUGCGCCACCACUGACACGGAACAACGGCAAACACGCCGCCGGGUCAGCGGAGUUCUCCUGAGAGCUCCGACAGAGAAAGCAAAAAUAAAUGCUUGACUCUGUAGCGGGAAAGCGUAUUAUGCACACCCCGCGCCGCUGAGAAAAAGCGAGGCGGCACUGCUCUUUAACAAUUUAUCAGACAAUCUGUGUGGGC
Molecule: ribosomal RNA, 582 nt
Filed under: Escherichia coli O104:H4 str. Ec11-9450
Lineage: Bacteria; Pseudomonadati; Pseudomonadota; Gammaproteobacteria; Enterobacterales; Enterobacteriaceae
Description: partial 23S ribosomal RNA
Source: RNAcentral